ACUACCAUAUAAUUUGCAGCCAACUGAGUAUCAGUCGCAAAUAGCCAAUUUAUGCCCUAUUUUCUUUUAUUUACUUUCCCCACUUUUUAUAUUUGCCCUAGUCCCUUCACAAACGCUGUCUCUCUCUCUCUCUCUCCCUCCCUCGGUCUCACAUAUGAAUCUCUCUGGUCUCUCAAUCUAGUCUCUCUCUCUCUCUCUCUCUGUAUCUCUCUUUCAAUCUUGUGCUCUCUCUCCUUGAUGUCCUUCUCAGAUCAGCACCUCUGCUAUGUCGAUAUCCUUCAUCCUCUUCAGGUAAACACACCUAUAUAUGUACCUCUAUAUAUUAUGUAUAUGUGAAUUUCAAAAUUGAAAUUGAAUUUAUUCUGUUGAGGUCCGAGCAAGAAUCGAAGCAUCCGUCCUCAACUUCCUCAAGAUCUUGAACUCUUCGACUCUGUCAAUCUCAUGUCUCUCUGGUUUGCAAUUUUGCUUCAAAUCUGUACUCUCAAAAUGUGUAUGUGUGUGUGUUAAGCAUUGAAUCACUGUUGAUUUUGAGUAGAUGAAUUUGGGGAUUUUUGAGUGUGUUAUAAAUCGAGAUGGAGUAAUAGCAGAGUGAGUUAGAGUGUGUUGAUUGAUGUUUCGUGAAUUUUUCUCUCACUUGUUUUGCACGAGGUCUUUGAUGAGAGUUAACACUGCUCAAUCCUUCAUCAGAGGUAAUAAUAGGAUCAUCAUCAUCUCUCUUUCUCAUUUGCCUUAUUAAUCUUAUCUUUUUUAAAAAUUUCAGACUCACUGAUAUAGAUACAGAUACAGAUACAAACAAAGGCUCCCUUUGCUUCUCCAAAAAAUGUGAAUUUGUAAUUUUUUACUCAGUCUAAUUUGUAAUUUUCAUUUAAUUUUAUGUUCAUUUAGUUCAUUAAGGUCUAUAUGCUUCAACUUUAAUUUUGGCCAUUCCAUUUUUGUUUCUUUUCUUCAAUUUAGGAUAAAUUAGGCCUGUGUGUGUGUUUGGUUAUCAUGAAUUGUUUAUUGUUUUUGUUGAAUUAGUGCUGUGCUUUGUGUUUUGGAUACCUAACUAGGGUCUUUUAUUUGUGUUUUGAACAUGUUUAAGGUUCUAUUAUUUUUAGUGUGAUUUGAUUGGCAGCGGAGAAUGGGAUUUCUUACACCUGAUCAGACUGGGGAUCAUAAGAUGUUUAUCAUGCUCUUUUUCACGUUGCCGAUUAUUUUUGGAUAUCUUUUGGUUUUUUUAUUUUAUUUUUAUAUUAAUUAUAUAUGAGCAAAUGAUGAUUUAUAUCAAAUGUUUGUGGCAAUGCUCUGUUUGAACUUUCAUAUGCAGAGAACGCCUUUCUUCUAGGGAAGAACUUUUGUCUUGUUUGAACACUUGAACAUGCCACCUAUGUAUAAUGACAUCCUGUUCUUCCUAAUGAGAUUUCAUUCCCGAUUCUUCAUUCUGCUGUUCUCUCUCUCUCAUUAUGAAUUCCCUCACCCUGGUUCAAUUUAUAUGCACUGAUCUGAAUUAGCAUCUUCAGUGCUUACAGUCCAUUGGGUAUAUUGCAUUGCAUCAUUUAGGUUAUGCCUAGAUGCGAGUUAAGAAAAAAGUAUUUCAAUGAUUAUUUUUCAGGUAUCUUUUAUAGGAUUUGUAGAUGGAUUAGUUGAUGUUUCUCAGAAACACUUCCCAUUUUCAGCCAAAAGUUAGACAAGGAUAUGGGUUCAUGCACACACAAAACAAUCAGAGUGUGAUUUGUUGUCGUCCUCUCCUAUCUUGUAUUAUUUAUUAUUUUUUCUCUUUGGUGGUUUGGUGUGCUUGUGCACACGCAUGUGUGUACACUUUUGGCAUCAAGGAUAUGAAUCUUGCAUGUGUACCAAGCAAUAGAAGCUUGAUUUAUUGUUCUUCUUUUGGGAUGUAUAUGUGCACCAUAGUAAACUGUCUCAGGCUUCAUUUAGGGAUGCCUAGAUCAGAUGACCAUGUUUUCUCAAGCAAAACUUGAACAAAUAAAAGUUUGUCCUCCAUAUGCACUUAACACAAUUGUUUCUUCAAUCUCACCCUAUUGUCAAGCUCUGUCUGCGACAAAUACUAUCUGUAUUAUAUCAUUGUUUGGAGGUUGGUCUGAAAUAUUACUAGAAAUUGUCCAAAAGUUUAGUAGUGUGAAUCGUGUAUAUCAUAUCUUUUAGACUCAUGGAUGGGUUUUUAGACAUUGAAGAACUGGAUGCAUGCUAAAAUGCUAUUAUCAAUCUGACUUGUUAUUUGUUAAUUGGAGUCUUUUGUGUAAGAGCAGCAGCAAAAACAACUUGAACUCAUUCUGGCAAUUGGAAAGACUGGAAAGGUAUAAUUUUGUGUGUACGUGGACAUUACAUCAUGUAUCUUUAGGAAAACUUUUGCUGCUGCUUGUUAUUCUUUGGGUUUCCAUCAUGCAUCUUUUUUUGUAUUUAGUUGCUAUUCUUCCAGUUGUCCAGAAGCAACACCAACUUCUUAUGACUUUGCUCCUAUGUCAUGCAUGCACUAUGGAGGUUGGUGAAUGGAAUUUAUAUUUCUAGUAAAUAUAUGAAAUUUUUUCUUCACUGUCUGGAAUUGACCUUUGCUUUGUAUUUUUUAUUAUUAUUUUGUCCUUUAAAUUAUUUGUGUGCAUGGUACUCUAUUUUUAUUAUCUUAUAAUUAUUUCCUCAUUUGACAUCUUGGGGAUGUAUUUAUAAUGGUAAAUUAUUAGUUAAAUUUAUUUGAUAAGUGUGCCUCAAUUUUGUGUGAUUCUUGAAAAAAGUUUCUUAGAUGUUUCAAAAUAAAAUUUUCUGGUUGUUUCUGCAUACAAUAACUUAAAUGAAUGCUUUAGGUGUAAUGACAAAUUAAUGCUUUAGUGAGAGUUAGGUGUUGCAUUGGGGAUUUUGCUUCAUCUUGUGUUCACAUGCAAUAUUGUGAACAAGACCAUUUCUGGUCUGAAGUUUGCAAACUAAUUUAGAUAUACCAAUUUAUUUAUUUAUUUAUUUAUUUUGUCUCCUAAAUGAAUCAAUUAAAUGACAGCUUUAUCUUAAAAAAUUAAUUUCUAUUAGCUAAUGAUCUGUUGUCUGUUUGCAAGUUUCAUGGUUGUAUAAUUUAGAAACUUAGUAUAGUACUAAACAAGACUUCUAAAGGCAAUGUACAUAAAUUAUUUUGAGACCCAUUUCAUUGAGUUCUUAGAUAUGAUGCAUGGGAGCUCAAGAAGCAAUAUGCACAUUCUUAAUAUAGCGACAAGGUGUUUCUCCUGAAAAAGGCACGGGGGCAACAAUAUCUGAUGAUAAUGAUGAUCAACUAUAUAGCGACACCAACAUUUUCGAUGGAAGUUUUGAUGAACAGCAAACGCGGGCUGAAACAAAGCUGCCUCGAGCAGCACUACUUUGAACACUAGGAAGCUCGACGAAGAGAUGGAGAAUCUUUCUCAUGAGUAUAUUUAAAUUCGAGCGUGCACGUGUAUAUAUAUAUGACUCAUUUACUUCUUUUCAAUUCCUUGUACGUUUUUUGAAUGAAUUUUACAAUUCAUUUAAACUUCUUUCCACAUGGAGAUGAUAUAUGUGUUGAUACACCUAUUAACUUUCUUUGGUGAUGUGAGUCAUGUGGCCUUGUUUAUUUAGAAUUUUUCUUAGCACUGGAUAUUCAUUUUGAAUAGAAUAAUUUACACAACUUUAAACC
Molecule: non-coding RNA, 3628 nt
Organism: Camellia sinensis
Lineage: Eukaryota; Viridiplantae; Streptophyta; Magnoliopsida; Ericales; Theaceae
Source: RefSeq, a predicted model, not a curated record